Molecule: ribosomal RNA, 320 nt
Filed under: uncultured eukaryote
Lineage: Eukaryota
Description: partial 18S ribosomal RNA
Rfam family: Eukaryotic small subunit ribosomal RNA
Source: RNAcentral
CCCUUCGAUGUUCGGAGCCGCACGCGCGCUACACUGAACAGUUCAACAAGUCUUAACCUUGGCCGAUAGGUCUGGGUAAUCUUUGAACGCUGUUCGUGAUUGGGAUAGACCUUUGCAAUUAUGGGUCUUCAACGAGGAAUUCCUAGUAAACGCAAGUCAUCAGCUUGCAUUGAUUACGUCCCUGCCCUUUGUACACACCGCCCGUCGCACCUACCGAUUGAAUGGUCCGGUGAAAUCUCGGGACGGCGGCUUGGUCGCUUGCGUCCGACUGCUGAAACUUGAUUAAACCAUAUCAUUUAGAGGAAGGUGAAGUCGUAACA